Molecule: long non-coding RNA, 225 nt
Filed under: Capsella rubella
Lineage: Eukaryota; Viridiplantae; Streptophyta; Magnoliopsida; Brassicales; Brassicaceae
Description: long non-coding RNA (CRUB_LNC001888)
Source: RNAcentral
UUUUUUCCGGGCACCGAAAGGAGAGUUGUCUUUAGCUGGACAAGGACGGCAUGUCGGAAAAAAUUCUCUUUUUUUUUUUUUUAACGUUACCAAACCGAACCGGUCGGUUUAUAGGUAUUAACUGUCUACAAAUUGUAUUCGAUUUGCGGUUUAGUUAGAUUUCAAACAAUAAACCGAUCGGUUUGGACAAAUUAAAAUCCCUAGAUUUACUUACAUACAACUCUU